ACAGCAGUCGCCGCGGUAAAACGAAGGGUGCGAGCGUUAAUCGGAAUUACUGGGCGUAAAGCGUGCGUAGGCGGUUUGUUAAGUCUGUUGUGAAAUCCCCGGGCUCAACCUGGGAAUGGCAAUGGAUACUGGCAAGCUAGAGUGUGUCAGAGGAUGGUGGAAUUCCCGGUGUAGCGGUGAAAUGCGUAGAGAUCGGGAGGAACAUCAGUGGCGAAGGCGGCCAUCUGGGACAACACUGACGCUGAGGCACGAGAGCGUGGGGAGCAAACAGGAUUAGAUACCCCUGUAGUCCCUGUCUCUUAUAC
This 305-nucleotide ribosomal RNA is filed under the name uncultured bacterium. RNAcentral describes it as "partial 16S ribosomal RNA". It matches the Rfam family "Bacterial small subunit ribosomal RNA", at positions 508 to 807 of the family's 1533-position model. The record is from RNAcentral.